ACGAGUGUGUGUCCUGUCCGGUGGCCGUUCGUAACCGACGACCCGUGGAAGUACACGUUUCCUUCCGGAAAGGACAAAUUACGUUUCGGAGGAGGUUCGAAAGAAAAAACGGUUCCGCGCGAGAGAGAAAAAGAAAAAGUUACCCCGCAAGCAACGGGAUUUGGCCACGGUUGAUUCCGUCCGACCCGACGAAAUCGCAGUGAACCCCAAUUGGAGUGUACGACGGUGUGCGUGUGUUUUUCCCUUUUUGUGAAUAUUAUAUACUAGUUGCAACCCCCGUACAGUGCUGCUCUCUCGCGUGCUGAGCCAGAAGCUAUCAACACCACGGGUAUUCCAUGACAGUGGGUACGCAGUGCAAUCAAUGUGAGCUGUUAAUGAAAAUUUUGAGGCCAAAAUAGAGAGAUCUUCGGUGUUUGAAGUGGCGGAAAUACAUGUGGAAUCAGCAUAAUCAGGUGGAAAGUUUCGUUCGCGGCCACAGGCGCAAAGUACACAUCCCUCAUGCUGCCUUGGAAGGUUUAUUUUCGUUGCCACUAGCAUCCGAAAAAGCAAGGAAAAAGUGCAUGUGAUUGUGUUGGAAUAGAUGAGGUGACACUGUGUGUUAAAACAUUCCCAUCAACAACCCCCUUGUCUAGUGUGGUCUCCAGCAAAGGAGAGGUCGAGAGAGAGCGAUAGUGUGAGUGCGAGUGUAAAGGAAUCGUAAGAAAAGUGCAAACCAACUAAGUAAGUUGCUAGAGAGCAGCAAACAAGCAAAGCAGAGAAAAAAAAGAUAAAGAAUAAAUCGGUUGUUUUGGAUAUACACGCAGUGUAUGCGCUUUAGGCGACGUGAAGAAGGCUGCAGAUAGUGCUUUGUCGGAAGAGCAAAACGGCGUCCUCAACAGGAUCAGCAGCACCAGCACCGUACGACGGCGAGGAGAUGAGUGGUCGGCCCAGGACUACCUCAUUUGCGGAGGGCAACAAGACGCAAAACUAUCCCGUCAUGGGAGGCAUGAAAAUUAUCAGUAA
Culex pipiens pallens (northern house mosquito) is the source of this 1002-nucleotide long non-coding RNA. RefSeq lists it as uncharacterized. The transcript is spliced from 2 exons. NCBI's taxonomy places the organism in Eukaryota, Metazoa, Arthropoda, Insecta, Diptera, Culicidae. The record is from RefSeq and is a predicted model, not a curated record.